GGUGAACGCUGGCGGUAGGCCUAACACAUGCAAGUCGAACGGCAGCACAGUAAGAGCGUGCUCUUACGGGUGGCGAGUGGCGGACGGGUGAGGAAUGCAGCGGAAUCUACUUUGUCAAGGGGGACUACGACGGGAAACUUAGAGUAAUACCGGAUACAACCUACGGGAGGAAGCAGGGGAGCUUCGGAACUUACGCGGUUGGACAAGACGAUGCCGGAUUGGCUAGUUGGCGGGGUAACGGCUCACCAAGGCGACACUCCGUAGCUGAUCUGAGAGGAGGGUCAGCCCCACUCGAACUGAGACACGGUCCACACUCCUACGGGAGGCCGCCGUGGGGAAUAUUGGACGAUGGGCGCAAGCCUUAUCCAGCCAUACCGCGUGGGUGAAGAAGGCCUUCGGGUUUGAAAGCCCUUUUGUUGGGAAAGAAAAGCAGCAGGUUAAUACCCCGCUGUUCUGACGGUACCUAAAGAAUAAGCACCGGCUAACUUCGUG
RNAcentral lists this ribosomal RNA (492 nucleotides) under uncultured bacterium. RNAcentral's name for it is "partial 16S ribosomal RNA". It matches the Rfam family "Bacterial small subunit ribosomal RNA", at positions 28 to 507 of the family's 1533-position model. The record is from RNAcentral.